GGAAAACAAAAUGAUCACAGGAUCAAACUUAGACAAAAAGGAUUUUACUGCCAUUAAAUUUUAGGCAGCCACUUUUAUCCAAUCAUCACAAACCAUUGCUCUAUUUCUUUGUAAUGAUUCUAUAACAUGAUGCAUUAAUUAGUUCUUGUUUUGAGG
Molecule: long non-coding RNA, 156 nt
Filed under: Ovis aries (sheep)
Lineage: Eukaryota; Metazoa; Chordata; Mammalia; Artiodactyla; Bovidae
Description: lncRNA (ENSOARG00000025787.1)
Source: RNAcentral